Molecule: ribosomal RNA, 512 nt
Filed under: Coniochaeta sp.
Lineage: Eukaryota; Fungi; Ascomycota; Sordariomycetes; Coniochaetales; Coniochaetaceae
Description: SSU rRNA
Rfam family: Eukaryotic small subunit ribosomal RNA
Source: RNAcentral
GUAGUUGAACCUUGGGCCUGGCUGGCCGGUCCGCCUCACCGCGUGCACUGGUCCGGCCGGGCCUUUCCCUCUGGGGAACCGCAUGCCCUUCACUGGGUGUGUCGGGGAACCAGGACUUUUACUUUGAACAAAUUAGAUCGCUUAAAGAAGGCCUAUGCUCGAAUACAUUAGCAUGGAAUAAUAGAAUAGGACGUGUGGUUCUAUUUUGUUGGUUUCUAGGACCGCCGUAAUGAUUAAUAGGGACAGUCGGGGGCAUCAGUAUUCAAUUGUCAGAGGUGAAAUUCUUGGAUUUAUUGAAGACUAACUACUGCGAAAGCAUUUGCCAAGGAUGUUUUCAUUAAUCAGGAACGAAAGUUAGGGGAUCGAAGACGAUCAGAUACCGUCGUAGUCUUAACCAUAAACUAUGCCGACUAGGGAUCGGACGAUGUUAUAUUUUGACUCGUUCGGCACCUUACACGAAAGUAAAGUUUCUGGGUUCUGGGGGGAGUAUGGUCGCAAGGCUGAAACUUAAA